Molecule: ribosomal RNA, 497 nt
Filed under: uncultured bacterium
Lineage: Bacteria
Description: partial 16S ribosomal RNA
Rfam family: Bacterial small subunit ribosomal RNA
Source: RNAcentral
GAUGAACGCUGGCGGCGUGCCUAAUACAUGCAAGUCGAGCGAACAGAUGAGGAGCUUGCUCCUCUGACGUUAGCGGCGGACGGGUGAGUAACACGUGGAUAACCUACCUAUAAGACUGGGAUAACUUCGGGAAACCGGAGCUAAUACCGGAUAAUAUAUUGAACCGCAUGGUUCAAUAGUGAAAGACGGUUUUGCUGUCACUUAUAGAUGGAUCCGCGCCGCAUUAGCUAGUUGGUAAGGUAACGGCUUACCAAGGCAACGAUGCGUAGCCGACCUGAGAGGGUGAUGGGCCACACGGGAACGGAGACCCGCAACAGACUCCAACGGGAGGCAGCAUUGGGGAAUCUGCCGCAAUGGGCGAAGGAUGGACGGAGCAACGCCUGGUGGAUGAUAAAGGUCUUCGGACCGUAAACCUCUGUUAUUGGGAAAGAAAAAAUGUGCAAGUACCUAUGCCCGUCUAGCCGGUACCUAAUCAGAAGGCCACGGCUACCUCCGUG